Molecule: ribosomal RNA, 339 nt
Filed under: Staphylococcus epidermidis NIHLM037
Lineage: Bacteria; Bacillati; Bacillota; Bacilli; Caryophanales; Staphylococcaceae
Description: bacterial SSU rRNA
Rfam family: Bacterial small subunit ribosomal RNA
Source: RNAcentral
UUUUUAUGGAGAGUUUGAUCCUGGCUCAGGAUGAACGCUGGCGGCGUGCCUAAUACAUGCAAGUCGAGCGAACAGACGAGGAGCUUGCUCCUCUGACGUUAGCGGCGGACGGGUGAGUAACACGUGGAUAACCUACCUAUAAGACUGGGAUAACUUCGGGAAACCGGAGCUAAUACCGGAUAAUAUAUUGAACCGCAUGGUUCAAUAGUGAAAGACGGUUUUGCUGUCACUUAUAGAUGGAUCCGCGCCGCAUUAGCUAGUUGGUAAGGUAACGGCUUACCAAGGCAACGAUGCGUAGCCGACCUGAGAGGGUGAUCGGCCACACUGGAACUGAGACAC